This 58-nucleotide transfer RNA is filed under the name Aeluroscalabotes felinus. Its description in RNAcentral is "tRNA-Cys". The record is from RNAcentral. Lineage: Eukaryota; Metazoa; Chordata; Lepidosauria; Squamata; Eublepharidae.
AGCCCCGAAUAAAGUAAAGUGCAAAUUUACAGCGGCACCAUAGGAGGUGCCGGGGCUU